AAUGAACGCUGGCGGCGUGGAUAAGACAUGCAAGUCGAACGAAGAGAUUGAGUAGCUUGCUAAUUGAUCUCUUAGUGGCGGACGGGUUAGUAACACGUGAGUUACUUGCCCCAGAGUGGGGGAUAGUCCUGGGAAACUGGGUUUAAUACCGCAUGAACCUACGGUAAAGGUGGCUUUUAGCUAUCGCUCUGGGAUAGGCUCGCGUCCUAUCAGCUAGUUGGAGAGGUAACGGCUCCCCAAGGCAACGACGGGUAGUUGGUCUGAGAGGAUGACCAGCAACACUGGGACUGAGACACGGUCCAGACACCUACGGUGGCAGCAGUCGAGAAUCAUUCACAAUGGGGGCAACCCUGAUGGUGCAACGCCGCGUGGAGGAUGAAGGCCCUAGGGUCGUAAACUCCUGUCAUCGAGGAGUAAGGCAUAGCAGAAU
This 430-nucleotide ribosomal RNA is filed under the name uncultured bacterium. Its description in RNAcentral is "bacterial SSU rRNA". It matches the Rfam family "Bacterial small subunit ribosomal RNA", at positions 29 to 462 of the family's 1533-position model. The record is from RNAcentral.